Long non-coding RNA from Coffea arabica (coffee), 1478 nucleotides. RefSeq lists it as uncharacterized. The record is from RefSeq and is a predicted model, not a curated record. NCBI's taxonomy places the organism in Eukaryota, Viridiplantae, Streptophyta, Magnoliopsida, Gentianales, Rubiaceae.
GAACCUCUGCCAUGGCGGGCUUAGCCUUUUCUCUGAUGAUGAUAAGGAGAUCUGAGCCACCACCCCCCUUGCAUAUGAUAUUAAAGCCGCCUCGUCUUCUUCACCCUUUAUUUUCCUGCUCCUCCUCUUGAACCUCUGCCACCCACUUGCUGUAUAGUGAAGAGUCUUCAAAGAGAGAAUUUUGGGUUAAAGAUUGAUUUGUUAUUGGCUGUCUUUCUGCGCAAUUUCUCAUACAUUGGAUACCGACUCGGCCGCUCUUUUGAGUCCCGGAGUUGACUGAGCCGGAAUUUUCCGAGUCUGAACGAGUUUCCACCGGGUCUACCUUCUCCAGGAUAUGGCGGAACGGAAGCUGAAGUUCUGACGACUCAGACUCGGCCGAGUCUUUGAACGCCCUUUGGAUGAGGCAGUGUAUUUUGGGGCAGGGAGGUUGGGAGUUUUGGGUGGGUUGUUGCCCCUCUCUGCAACUACGCUGCCGAUGAUUUCAAUACAAGCAAACAGCCCCUGUUGAUGCUUGCCAGAUGUAGUACAAACUUCUCUAAUGAUUCCACAAAAACCCUAAAUCCUAAAUCCUUGUAAUCAGAAGCUUCGAUGAUAUCCGCCUCUUCCAAAUUAAGUCAAAUUCUGAGCUAGCUCGUAUCUUGGCUCGGCAAAAUCUCCCAAUGGCGGUUUUUGCAGCCACGGCGGGCUUAGCCUUUUCUCUGAUGAUUAUACAGCUCAGAAAGAAGAACGAAUGAGGCAGCAGCAGAGGAGUACGGGAUUUCUUUAAGGGUGGUUGCCCAUCUCUGCUUUGCCUAUGAUUUCGCCAUUGGUUACUAAAAAACCAACAGCCCUUCGAACAGAGCCAGGGAAAUAUAUGUAUAUAUAUAUGUACACAAACACACGUAUGCAUAUCAACAUGUGUGUGUGUGUGUGUGUUUAACAAUAACAGGGAAGAAGCCCUCGUUGCGAGUUUUCUUUUUUUUCUUUUCUUUCUUUUUGGCGACGGUGUUAUAUGAGAUGAAGGUGGUGGUGGAGGGAUUCGGCGAUUAUGGAAAAGAGGCGGUGAUGAUAUUUGUUGGGCAUUAUUUCUGAGCGAAUCAAAUCGGACAUUGGAGACGAACCGACCCGUAACUUGGCUGGGCAAACUCAGCAGUUGGUCUCGUCUCAUGCAUGAGCAGCUGCAGAUUUUGCAGCCAUGGCGCGGUCAAUGUCUCUGUCCGAUUCAUAAAAGAAAUCUGAGCCUCAUCUUUCUGUUGUUUUUUUCUUAAAAAAAGAAACAUUUUUUAGUAUAUCAUUUUGAUACCCCUUUUGGUCCCUGAUUGAAAAAUAUAUAUUUGAGUCCUCAAUCCUUUUAUGUUGAUGUGUGUCUCAAGAAUGUGUCAAGGCUACAAGCCAGGCCUUGUUAUGGACCAUUAGCUAUCAAGUGUUUCAAAGAGCGCUUUCGAGGCCCGUCUCAUGACGGAGCGUUUUGUUAUUUAUACAGUCUAUUUACUUUCAAA